RNAcentral lists this long non-coding RNA (704 nucleotides) under Heterocephalus glaber (naked mole-rat). RNAcentral describes it as "lncRNA (ENSHGLG00000046159.1)". Lineage: Eukaryota; Metazoa; Chordata; Mammalia; Rodentia; Bathyergidae. The record is from RNAcentral.
GUCGCUUUCCCCAGCGUCAUGAGGACAACCCUCCCUGCCCCUGCCCAGAGGAAGAGAGUAACAUGAAUACAAGUCGAAGCAUGGGCUGCGUUUCCAUCUUUCCCCUGCACAUGUAGACUCCUUAACAGAAAUAUGCCCUCAAGGAAUGACCAAAAGGGGAGGAGAAUGAUCCACAGACGACAGCAGCAUGCAGACCAGGAUUCCUAGAGGAAGCAAGGCCCUAAAGAUCAAACCCUGCAUAGAUGUUAGCUACCAUGAUAACGUCAUUGAUGGAAGACAGGAAAGAGAAUGGAAAGAAAUGAAGACCUGGAAAGAAGGGUCCCACUUAAGGAAAGCCAGAGAUUCCACAAGGCUUAUUGGACACGUGUACUCAGAAGAGCACUGGAAAUCCUUAGACCUGUUCUUCAGACCUUAAAGCAAGUCUCCCAGUACAACACAAGUGAAGAUAAUUCAUAAAAGCACUGUUUUCAGAGUUUGAGGGACAAGGAGAAAAAGCAUUGAGGGCAUGGUACUAAAUCUUGCCAAGAGCUUUCAGUACGUGCACCUCACAUGUUGAGAGGCCGUGAGAUGUCAUCAUGGUGACAAGACAUGGCAUCUCCUCAGAAAUCUGAAUGUCAGUCAGCAAACGUCUCCUCCUUCCAGCUGCAGUCUUCCCUUCUUCUGUUCCUCCCCUACUCACAGAACCCUCAGUUCUUAACUAAAUC